UGAAAACUAAGUUUUACAGACAGCUAGGUGGUGCACUGCGUAGAGCCCAGGACUUGGAGUCCCCUAAUUCUUCCAUGGUUUUUAUGCUAUUUAAUAUUGCCACGUCUAUUCCAUGGGAGGUUCGGGAAGUAAUACUGCAGAGAUUGAAGUAAUGCAAAAUCUUCGUUGGAUUUUGGGGCAUUGUCCGAUACAAGGAUACAAAAACCGACA
Molecule: non-coding RNA, 210 nt
Organism: Phascolarctos cinereus (koala)
Lineage: Eukaryota; Metazoa; Chordata; Mammalia; Diprotodontia; Phascolarctidae
Source: RefSeq, a predicted model, not a curated record